ACUCUUCACCUCUGUCUCCUCACAGGGAGAAGAUGAUCUGCAGGAUCUCGCUGCUCCUCAUCUUCACCUCGUGUGUCUCUGGAUCAUUUGUAGUGAAUGUGACUCAGACCUCCUAUCAGGCAGAGGAGAACCACAACAUCACACUGGAGUGGACGUUCACAGUAGAAACAGGCAGAUCGCCCACAUAUCCAAACAUCUAUUGUGAACUGAUAACUGAUGAUAAACUCUCAGUCCUGUAUCGUGUCCGUGAUGGUGCUGAAGUCUCAGAGUCUCAGGAUGAAAAGUUUUCAGGACGAGUUCAGGGUGACAAAGACGCCCUCAGAGAAGGACGAAUCAGACUCCAGCUGUGCAGACUCAGGACUGAGGACUCGGGUCGAUACAGAUGUCAAGUAAACACAGAUUAUGGCUUCAGCUCUGCGAGCUGCAGACUCAACGUCACUGCAGCUGCUGAUCAGCUCCAACCUCAGAGACCAACUUCACCACCACAAGAAGAGAGAGAGGACUGGAAGAUUAUUAUAAUUGUCCUGACAGCAGCAGCAGCAGCAUUAUUCGCUCUGAUUGUGUGUACUUUACUUUGUGUUGUGCUUAGAAAAGUGCCAAAUUUCUGUACAGCUGUCAAGUUUCAUGAACCCUCAGGGACAAAGUCACUAAACCAAGAUACUUCCUGCCUUUGACGUCUACUUGAUCUAGUUGAUAUGAACUGUGUAAAUGAA
Long non-coding RNA from Pelmatolapia mariae (spotted tilapia), 713 nucleotides. RefSeq lists it as uncharacterized. The record is from RefSeq and is a predicted model, not a curated record. Lineage: Eukaryota; Metazoa; Chordata; Actinopteri; Cichliformes; Cichlidae. The transcript is spliced from 3 exons.